Molecule: ribosomal RNA, 633 nt
Filed under: uncultured eukaryote
Lineage: Eukaryota
Description: bacterial SSU rRNA
Rfam family: Eukaryotic small subunit ribosomal RNA
Source: RNAcentral
CCAGCUCCAAUAGCGUAUAUUCAAUUUGCUGCAGUUAAAAAGCUCGUAGUUGGGUGGGGGAGGAAGAUGAAAGAGGGAGAAGGGGAACCGGAUCCUGAAUUGUUUUCUUCCAUUUAAUGGAGAGUAGUCUUGUAGGUGCUCUUAACUGGGCGCUUACAACGACCUCUCCCGUUGACCGUGCUUAAAUUCGCGUGUUCAAAGCAAGCAUAUUAUAUCGCUUGAAGAGUCUAGCAUGGGAUCAUAAAAUACGGACUUGGUUUCGAGAUUUUUCUUCUCAUCUCCCAAGUCAAUGACAAAUAGGGGCAAGCGGGGGCAGAGGGAUUCCAUCGUUAGAGGUGAAAUUCUUAGACCGAUGGAGGACCAACAGAAGCCAAAGCGUCUGUCAAGGGUGUGCCCAUUGACCAAGAACGAAAGUUAGUGGAUCAAAUACGAUCAGACACCGUAGUAGUCCUAACCUUAAACGAUACCGACCGGGGAUGGGGUAAGGUAUAUAAUUACACUUACCUAUCCUGUACCCUGCGAGAAAUCAAGAGUGUUUGGGUUCCGGGGGGAGUACGGUCGCAAGGCUGAAACUUAAAGGAAUUGACGGAAGGGCAAACCAGAAGUGGAACCUGCGGCUUAAUUCGACUCAAC